AUACAUAUUACACAUGAGACCAUGGACAUAUAUAUACGUUAAUAACACAUCAUGGACUUUUAAACCACAAAGAAACAUAAAAACAUGGACCAUAGACUGUCAGUAACAUGUCAUGGUCUCAUUUAUGCAUAUUACACAUGAGACCAUGGACCAUGGACAUAUAUAUCUGUUAUUAACACAUCAUGGACUCUUAUAAAGCUAUGCAACAGAAGACCAUGGACCAAUUAGACUUGUCAGUAACAUGUCAUGGUCUCAUUUACGCAUAUUACGCAUGAGACCAUGGACCUAUACAUAUGUUAUUAACACAUCAUGGACAUUUAUACCACAAUAACACAUAAAACCAUGGACCAAUUAGAUUGUAUCAUGCCAAGGUCUCUUUUAUACACAUUACAAAUGAGACCAUCGACCUAUGUAUCUGUUUUCAACACACAAAGAAACAUAAGACCAUGGACCAAUUAGACCGUAACAUGUCAUGGUCUCUUUUAUACACACUACACAUGAGACCAUGGACCUAUACAUAUGUUAUUAACACAUGGACUCUUAUACCACAAUGAAACAGAAGACCAAAGACCAAUAAGACUGUCAGUAACAUACCCUGGUCUCUUUUAUACAUAUUACACAUGAGGCCAUUGACCUAUAUAUCUGUUAUCAACACAUCAUGGACUCUUAAACCACAAUAAAACAGAAGACAAUGAACCAAUUAGACUGUCAGUAACAUACCAUGGUCUCUUUUAUACAUAUUACACAUUAGACCAUGGACCUAUACAAAUGUUAUUAACACAUCAUGGACUCUUAUACCACAAUGAAACAUAAGACCAUGGACCAAUUAGAACUUAACAUGCUGUGGCCUCUUUUAUACAUAUUUCGUAUGAGACCAUGGACCUGUAUAUCUGUUAUAAGCAUAUCAUUUUCUCUUUUAUACAUAUCACGCAUGAGACCAUGGACCUAUAUAUUUGUUAGUAACACAUUAUGGACUCUUAUACCACAAUGGAACAGAACACAAUGGACCAAUUAGACAGUCAUUAACAUGCCAUGGUCUAUUUUAUACACAUUACACACGAGACCAUGGACCUAUAUAUCUGUUAUAAGCAUAUCAUGGAAUCUUAUACCACAAAGAAACAGUAGAGUGUGGGCCAAUAAGACUUAUAUAAAUGGUACAGAAGAAGAAUGUAUAGAAACUGGCCACCAUGAUCAAAUAGAGCCUCAGGAAACAGGGGAAGGGGACAAGGUAGUGCAGGAGACCGAUGAAGAACAAGGGGGAGUAAUAGUUCAAGAGACAGGAGAAAGGGCAAGAGCCGUAGGGGGAAACACACGUUAGAUAUGAAGAUCAUUCGAUACAGGUGAAAAGAGAAAGAAUACACUCAAUUUUCAUGGAAGAGAUUACAUUAGAAGAAAAAUGUUUAAAAGUGUGGUGUUUGAUUACGUUGUGGUUUGAUUUGUGGGGUUUGGCAGAAGUUAUUUGGGAUUACAUUCCUGUUUUUCCAGACACCCUGUCAAAUACUUGGAGGCCCAACACCUUAAUAGAUACCAACAAAAAGUAUAAAGACUUUAUACCACUUUCCAUAGGGGAACGUACAGCUUACCAGUCCACAGCAAAUGGAAAUUGCAUUUAUAAUGCAGUGUCCAUUAUCCUCUAUGGAAAUGAAGAUAUGGCUGUGGUACUGAAGCUGGCUUCAGUGCUGAAAAUGGUGGACGAUAUAGUACCAUUUUCAAAAUAUAAGAAUUUAAAGAGAAAACUAUCUGGGGGUUAAAUCUACCCUGCUGCAGGUGAAUGCAGCCUCAACAGCAGAGGAGGUAGAGUAUGGAUGCCGAAAAGAGCUGGUCUCGACUAUUCAACAUCCAUACAGGGAAGGAAGUAAGUAUAAUGUUUCUUAAAAUAAUUUU
Long non-coding RNA from Mytilus californianus (California mussel), 1884 nucleotides. RefSeq lists it as uncharacterized. NCBI's taxonomy places the organism in Eukaryota, Metazoa, Mollusca, Bivalvia, Mytilida, Mytilidae. The transcript is spliced from 6 exons. The record is from RefSeq and is a predicted model, not a curated record.